RNAcentral lists this long non-coding RNA (4004 nucleotides) under Olea europaea subsp. europaea. The record is from RNAcentral. Lineage: Eukaryota; Viridiplantae; Streptophyta; Magnoliopsida; Lamiales; Oleaceae.
GAAAUUACAAAAAUUUCCCCCUUUUUUUAAGUCUGUCGAAAACAUAGAUAGAAACCACUAGGAACUCCUUGAGCUAACACGUUCAUGCAUUAUGACCUACUGUGCAUAGAAGCUAUCCCUUCUUGGCUAUGAAUACCACUUUGGCUACCAUGCUUCAGGUAGGCAAGCACUCAUAAUCAAGUUUAAACUCUGUCAGUUUGAUUUUUACUAUGAAUCCAAGCAUUGACUAAGGCAACAGAGUGGUGCUUGGCCAUCACCUCUUUUCCUGUGGAAGGCUGAGCAGACUUGAAUAUGCAUUCUCCUGCAGAACUAAACUUGAUUCCAACUCCCUGUUCUCAUGUAAGUAUCAACAAUUUCUGAUGUCUACAUAAGGUGCAGGAUGUUUAAAGUAGUGGUCUUUGUGCUCAAAUGAAAAUAAACAGAAAAAAUAGAAAGCUCAAAUACACUCAGAAGCUGAGUUUAUUGAAAAGGAAGCUUUAGAUUUUAUUUACAUAAUCAUUAAACUUAACACUAUUGUCAUAUUCCAGAAAAAAUGCUAAUUUUGAUUUCUUCUGGAUGACAACUACUGAAAUAUGUUCUUUUCAACUAUGUUAUGCCGUGGUCAGCUGCAAUAUAAUUACUUUUGUUUCUUGAAAAUAUGCAACUUUUGGAAUAUUAGGAUUCAGAAACAAAGAUGCUGGUCACAAUGAAAACAAUUGGAACGUUCUGUACUCUACAGAAGAGAGAAGGCUCUAUGAUUAAUUUUGUGACUUAGAAGAUGAGGAAUUUUUUAAAACAGCCAUCUCAGCAUGGUCAAAGUGCAAAUGAUCAUCUUUCAAAUUUGCAGUUUAAAAGGACUACUAUAUAGAUCACAAGAUUAAUUUAACCUUGUUAAAAAAUGGCCACCGUCAAAGUAGAGAAUCAACUGUUCAACCUCUCUAGAACUCAAAUAAAUUAUGCUCCUUAGUUGGCAAGUUGAUCGAGUUUGGAAAGUAGGGCAAAAUUCAAAUCGGUCGCUCUCCUUUAUUGAAUUUUUUAGCAGAUCAGUGGAUAUCCUCUUCAUUGUCUAGCACACGAAAAAGGAGGAAAAGAAAUUUCAACUUUUUGAUUCUUUUCCAGGAUGUCUCCUGUUGUGAACUACUCUCAUAUAUCUGAUUGAUGGGAAUGGUCAUAUAUCCUUCAAACUCAAAUCGGCCAACUGUUUUCGGCAAUCCUAUUCAUUCUUUUUGUGUGUGUGUGUUAAAAGCAACAGCGUGUUCCCUUAAAUGAAAAGCCUUUAUUCUUCUUCUUGGAGAGUUGAUACCAAACUUUCUGCAGUCUACGGUCGAGUUUAUUUUCUUUACAACUUAAAAGAACAUUAACAUAUGGUUUUUUUACUGUUCAUUUAUUAUAGAAUGUAACAAGGCACGCAUAUGGUUACCAAUGGAUAGAAUCCUAUCUAAGCUCCUCAUCUGGCUUUGUUACUCAUUAGCCUUUUUCAUUCAUCUUCAUGCAUUGAGUUCUCACUGCAAAAUCUGACCACAAAACAUUUAUUUCAGUUGUCUCCUGUGCGAAUUGAGCAAGUUUAGCAUGGCAGAUUUGCCACGUUAUUUGAUAGCUUGCUUGCAAACUGGGAAACUGGCUAUGCUAGCAAUUCUGGUUUCAGGGGGAAUUGUGUUGCAGAUACUGGUCAGUUUUGCUCUGUUUAGUGAAUUUCCUUCACUUCAUUUAGUUGCAACUGUAUACUGUUAUCCUGUUAAAGUCAUUUUUCUGAUUAGUUCUUUUAUGAUUUUGCAGGCAUGUGCUUUGUACAACAAUUGGUGGCCAAUGUUAACAGGUAGUUUAUAUGCAGAUUUCUUUGGCUUUUCCAUUGUUUCAAGCAGAAAAUAUGGUUCAAUUGUUAAAAAAUAUUCCUAAAUUCAUCUGAAAGCAUUCAAGCACUACACUGAAUAUUAAAUUAUGGACAUUUCACCAAUAAGCCUAUUGCAAACUUAACCAGUUUCACCAAAAAUGUAAUCUAGGUUAGCAAGAAAAUGUGUAAAUAUAAGCGACAAUACAUAAAACAUUGGCAAAAUAGUGUUAUGUUUCAUUAAUUCAAUAUUUAUUGGGCUUUUAAAAGCAGAGCUUCAACCUUUAAAUGAUUUGAAAUUUGCAUGACAACGCUCUGGUUUUUUCUGAAACCACUUUAUAUCAAAAUGAUUAUAUAUGCAUUUACUUUGAACAUACUUUUGAAGAAUGUACUCUGGUUUGAAGGUCAAAUGCAACAAUAUGCAUUUUCUCUGAUACAUUAAUUUGCGGAUCUCAAUGAGGAGGUCUAAACGGAUCGAAAUGGUGCUCCAAGUUUCGGCCGAGAAAUGGUGAAAAUAUUGGGAUUUGUGUUUUGACAUGUUACUUUUUUCAUUUAAGAUCGUGUAACUACAUGUAAAACAUGUGACGCAGCGCGAAACAAGGAAUUCAAGCCAAAACCUUAAGAACAAGAAAUUUGGAACCCACCAAAUAAUAAAGAAAAUAAAUUUACUAAUUUUAUUAAUGAAAAAAAAAAGCCCUUAUUUAUAAGAGUUUAUAUGGAAACGUAGUUUAGAAUAACUAAAAGUAAUGAAAAAGAAGUUUAAACAAACUAAAAUUGCAAAAAAACCAAAAUAGACGAAUUGCAAAAGUAGCUCCAAAAUUUUAAAAAUCAGUUUUCAAGGCCUAAACGUACUUGAAUGGCCGAAAUUCGUCGUACAUCAUAGCAUAGCGGUGAGUAUUGUUCCUCUCGUCGUUCUUCUUCCAAAAUAGUCUUAUGGGCCUGAUCUGGAAUUAAGAUGAUGUUUUAUUUCUACUAGUGUUUCUUUCCCUAAUAUGACCAAUAUGUCCUACAUCAACAUGAAAUAAUUACCAAAACUCGAUUUAUUCCAUAACCUGUAUAUCUGUAACAUCAUGUUGAAAAGACCAUAAGAGUAAAAUAUUAAAUUGCAACAAACAAAAAUUUAAAUCCUAACUAUAAGUAACAUACUAAUAAAUGAACUUUUAAAGCUUCGUAAUCUGAUGUCUGGGCUCUGAUGGCAAUUAUCAACAUCCUGACUCAAGUGAUUAUGCAAAUGUAGAAAUUAGCUAAGUAUAGAUUAGCCUAUAAAUACACUCAGUAUGAAUCGUGCCAAUAAUUUUCAUAAUUUAAUAAUCCAACACAUCUGAAGUGAAAUGUUGAUGAAGAAACUGACCAUUUCAAUCUUAGAUAGGGCACCCCGCCUAAGUUUCAAUGUAGAUCUAUGUACCAAGUGGUUUUAGCCAUCAUAAUCAUCUCAAUCUCUGAAGAAUAUAUCAAAAUGAUUAUAUAUGCAUUUGUACAUAUUUUUAAUAAUUAAGUUGGUUGGCAAAAAUAGUACUCUGGUUUCUGAUAAUCAUAUUCUUGCAUUGUUCCUCUGCAGUAUUAAUGUAUGUUCUUCUACCUAUGCCUCUGAUUUUCUUUGCUGGGUAGCAAGUAGGUAAAGCUUUCUCCUUCAAAACUGAUCGUUUUAUUUUUUCUAGAAUCAUAAAAGUUAUGGCAUCAUUCUCAGUUUAAUGAAAAUUGUCUAUAUGACUAUAUAUAUAUGUAUUUCGACCUCAUACUUGCGUUUUUUACAAUCACACCAAGCAACAGUUGGGUUGAUGCGACAAAGUUCUUGACUGGAGCUUCAGCUGUUGGCAGUAUUGCUAUACCAAUUAUUUUAAAGCAUGCUGGCGUAAUUGGUUGGGGAGCCAUGGCAAUGGAACUCUCAUCGUUUUUCAUACUUGUCAUGGCCAUUUUGUGUUACCUUGGAACAAGCAAUGACGAUGGAUACAGUACAUUUUGAAGUACAAAACCUUUAUUUGGGAUAAGGAGGUUUCUUUUGCCAGCGAGUGUUGUUUGCUUGAGCAUGUGCUCCUGUGAUUGUGAUUUGUAUAUGCAUGUGUUUACAUUCAUAGAUUGUUCGUUAUCAAAAGAUGUUGAAGUGGUUAUCCACUAGAUAACAGCGAUGAAUGUACUUUGAUUGGAUACUCGAAAUUUGUUUAUAAAAUGAAGCCUUUUGACAUUACUUAUAGAAACU